AUGUGCUGUGAGCUCGAUGAGUAGGGCGGGACACGUGGUAUCCUGUCUGAAUAUGGGGGGACCAUCCUCCAAGGCUAAAUACUCCUGACUGACCGAUAGUGAACCAGUACCGUGAGGGAAAGGCGAAAAGAACCCCGGCGAGGGGAGUGAAAAAGAACCUGAAACCGUGUACGUACAAGCAGUGGGAGCACCCUUUGGGGUGUGACUGCGUACCUUUUGUAUAAUGGGUCAGCGACUUAUAUUCUGUAGCAAGGUUAACCGAAUAGGGGAGCCGGAGGGAAACCGAGUCUUAAUUGGGCGUUAAGUUGCAGGGUAUAGACCCGAAACCCGGUGAUCUAGCCAUGGGCAGGUUGAAGGUUGGGUAACACUAACUGGAGGACCGAACCGACUAAUGUUGAAAAAUUAGCGGAUGACCUGUGGCUGGGGGUGAAAGGCCAAUCAAACCGGGAGAUAGCUGGUUCUCCCCGAAAGCUAUUUAGGUAGCGCCUCGUGAAUUCAUCUCCGGGGGUAGAGCACUGUUUCGGCUAGGGGGCCAUCCCGGCUUACCAACCCGAUGCAAACUGCGAAUACCGGAGAAUGUUAUCACGGGAGACACACGGCGGGUGCUAACGUCCGUCGUGAAGAGGGAAACAACCCAGACCGCCAGCUAAGGUCCCAAAGUCAUGGUUAAGUGGGAAACGAUGUGGGAAGGCCCAGACAGCCAGGAUGUUGGCUUAGAAGCAGCCAUCAUUUAAAGAAAGCGUAAUAGCUCACUGGUCGAGUCGGCCUGCGCGGAAGAUGUAACGGGGCUAAACCAUGCACCGAAGCUGCGGCAGCGACGCUGAUGCGUUGUUGGGUAGGGGAGCGUUCUGUAAGCCUGUGAAGGUGGCCUGUGAGGGUUGCUGGAGGUAUCAGAAGUGCGAAUGCUGACAUAAGUAACGAUAAAGCGGGUGAAAAGCCCGCUCGCCGGAAGACCAAGGGUUCCUGUCCAACGUUAAUCGGGGCAGGGUGAGUCGACCCCUAAGGCGAGGCCGAAAGGCGUAGUCGAUGGGAAACGGGUUAAUAUUCCCGUACUUGGUGUUACUGCGAAGGGGGGACGGAGAAGGCUAUGUUGGCCGGGCGACGGUU
RNAcentral lists this ribosomal RNA (1107 nucleotides) under Salmonella enterica. Its description in RNAcentral is "partial 23S ribosomal RNA". It matches the Rfam family "Bacterial large subunit ribosomal RNA", at positions 392 to 1503 of the family's 2925-position model. The record is from RNAcentral. Lineage: Bacteria; Pseudomonadati; Pseudomonadota; Gammaproteobacteria; Enterobacterales; Enterobacteriaceae.